GUUACUAUAUACAAUCUCAAGGUAUAUAGGUAAUGACUGAAGCUGCUGAAGGGAGUGCGGGAUGGCUUCAGCAGUUUUAAAGAUAUCCAUCAAGUGAUUAAUAAAAAUAAAUCUUUGAAGAGUAAAACUGUUACAAGUAAAGAAAAUAUGAUCCAAGGUAGGUAAUGUAAUAAAAUAGAGGAAGAAGAACCACUCUGCAAUUUUACAAGAAGAGGAUGAUUUUUAAUGGAUGAAAUUCUCAACAAAAACCUGUAUAUUAAAUAUUUAAAGCGAAUUUUCAAAGGAGGGAUGUUACAUUCAACCUGCAUUGAUAUUAUGGGUGUGGAACACAUCGCACCAAGCACAAUCCAGCUGAUGUCCAAGCCCAGAUCAUCAUAAUAGGCCUUAAGGCCAAGGAGAGCAACUCUGAGAUUUUCAAUAGCUGCAGACAACUUGUCUGCAGUACAAUAUAUAGUUAAGUCAUCUACAAACUGUAGGUAAUUGUAAAGAAGUUAAAAUAAUUGAAAGUUUUUCCAAAUUGACAUUAUUAUAUGCGCCAACAACAUCAAAGAAAAUACCAACCAAUAUUGAAUUACAAGACAGAGCAUUGUGAAUGUCCAAACAAAAAUGACUCAAGCUCUCUCUAGCCGAACGGCCACGCCGAAAACCGAACUGAUUACUAGAUUCGUGUGAAGAGGAAAACUUUCAAAUGUCUGUGGCAAGUUACUAUGGGGAGAGAAUGAUGGAGAAAGAUUCAAUGUUGUCAGAGUUGGUAAAUGAUAACUACCUAACGAGUCUGAAGAAACUUGCCAUUCACAAAAUAAUGCUAACGACGCCGAAACAAAAGUCAAAUCUAGUGCAUUUGGCUUCCAUCUAUGCGACCCUACAGUGGUUGGACGUCCAUCAUUCAAGAGAACCAAAUCAUUCUCAUCAGCGACAUCAACAAUAUCUCUCCCUCGCGCGUCAACUUUGCCGCAACCCCAUAAAGUAUGAUGCGCGUUAAAGUCUCCAGCCAAAAUUAUCGGUUUCGGAAUAGUCUGUAUUAAAUCAUUAAAUUUUUUCUUAUUAAAUU
Molecule: long non-coding RNA, 1051 nt
Organism: Aricia agestis (brown argus)
Lineage: Eukaryota; Metazoa; Arthropoda; Insecta; Lepidoptera; Lycaenidae
Exons: 6
Source: RefSeq, a predicted model, not a curated record